AGCGAACGCUGGCGGCAGACCUAACACAUGCAAGUCGAACGAACUCUUCGGAGUUAGUGGCGGACGGGUGAGUAACCCGUUGGAACGUGCCUUUUGGUUCGGAAUAACUCAGGGAAACUUGUGCUAAUACCGAAUGUGCCCUUCGGGGGAAAGAUUUAUCGCCAUUAGAGCGGCCCGCGUCUGAUUUGCUAGUUGGUGAGGUAACGGCUCACCAAGGCGACGAUCAGUAGCUGGUCUGAGAGGAUGACCAGCCACACUGGGACUGAGACACGGCCCAGACUCCUACGGGAGGCAGCAGUGGGGAAUCUUGCGCAAUGGGGGAAAGCCUGACGCAGCCAUGCCGGGUGAAUGAUGAAGGUCUUAGGAUUGUAAAAUUCUUUCACCGGGGACGAUAAUGACGGUACCCGGAGAAGAAGCCCCGGCUAACUUCGUG
RNAcentral lists this ribosomal RNA (433 nucleotides) under uncultured bacterium. RNAcentral describes it as "partial 16S ribosomal RNA". It matches the Rfam family "Bacterial small subunit ribosomal RNA", at positions 29 to 507 of the family's 1533-position model. The record is from RNAcentral.